Molecule: long non-coding RNA, 483 nt
Filed under: Mus musculus (house mouse)
Lineage: Eukaryota; Metazoa; Chordata; Mammalia; Rodentia; Muridae
Description: lincRNA-EC124
Source: RNAcentral
AGGCAAAAGGGAGCUCUGUAAGCAAACUUUUAUGAGGCGGGCCCCUGGCUAAUAGGAUAGCAGAAGCCUGUGGCCAAGCUGUUCUUGUGAGAUAAGGGGUCAGCAGACUUCAGAGAAAUGCAGACCGCCCAGUUUGCGUCUCCAUAUCUUAGAAUACUCCAUCUGAGGGUAGCCUAACAACAACCUCCUGUAACUCCAGCAGCAAGCAAAUGCAGUAAGAAGUCACGUAGGUAGAAACAAAUAGUUCACUAAUUUUGAAGUUGUUGAAAAUGAUCCCUUAAAGGGCGCGUGGAGAUCAGAGAGAAAAAUAAUGAAGAAGCAUGGUAAAUACUAAAGCAUCAUUCCUUUCUCUCACUCUCCGUCUCUCUGUCUCUCUCUGUCUGUGUCUCUGACUGCCUCUCUCUCUGUCUCUCUCUGUCUACCUGUCUCUCUCCCUAACCCCCCCACCCCGUGUGUGUGUGUGUGUGUGUGUGUGUGUUCCUU